This 350-nucleotide transfer-messenger RNA is filed under the name Clostridiales bacterium. It matches the Rfam family "transfer-messenger RNA". From Rfam's summary of the family: Bacterial tmRNA, also known as 10Sa RNA or SsrA, is named for its dual tRNA and mRNA-like properties. Its role is to liberate the mRNA from a stalled ribosome. The record is from RNAcentral. Lineage: Bacteria; Bacillati; Bacillota; Clostridia; Eubacteriales.
GGGGACGAAAUUGGUUUCGACGGGGAUACAGAAGCUGGAUAAGCGAGCUGUUGCGCUGAACAACAUAAAAAGUGGCAAACUAAAUUUAAACGCAGAAGAUAAUAAUUUUGCAUUCGCAGCCUAAAUAGGCUGCUGCUCCUGCCGGUAGCCCUGCAUGCCGGUCUGUGAGUAUCAUUAAUGGCAGGCAACUAUACUAGGGAUUCUCAGACCUAAUAUAGUAUAACUUGAGAUAGCUAUGUGUAGGUUUGUUUCCUUUACUGCAUGUAGUGACAAAUUAAAGGAAACUGCGCUCGGAGAAAUUCCUGUGAAAGUAUUCUCGGACGUGGGUUCGACUCCCACCGUCUCCACCA